GGGUACCAUGAUUUGAGUGAAUUAUGAUGUCUUGGGGAGAUAUGAUAAUAUAAAAAUCAUGCUAGGAUUACAUAGGGGCCC
Small nucleolar RNA from Mustela putorius furo (domestic ferret), 81 nucleotides. Its record names the gene SNORD115. It matches the Rfam family "Small nucleolar RNA SNORD115". From Rfam's summary of the family: HBII-52 is a member of the C/D class of snoRNAs, which contain the C (UGAUGA) and D (CUGA) box motifs. HBII-52 is encoded in a tandemly repeated array with another C/D snoRNA, HBII-85, in the Prader-Willi syndrome (PWS) region of chromosome 15. HBII-52 is exclusively expressed in the brain but is absent in PWS patients. The record is from Ensembl. NCBI's taxonomy places the organism in Eukaryota, Metazoa, Chordata, Mammalia, Carnivora, Mustelidae.